This is a non-coding RNA of Python bivittatus (Burmese python), 1631 nucleotides long. The record is from RefSeq and is a predicted model, not a curated record. Lineage: Eukaryota; Metazoa; Chordata; Lepidosauria; Squamata; Pythonidae.
AGGGACUAUGGAGGUGUUUAUGUUGGUCUACCUGCUGCAGCAGCUAAGAUUUCCAGCCAGACAAAAACAGCACCUACAGGAACCUGACCAGAGAGAACAAUCUGGAGAACAGACUGUUGGGAGACAAGUCCUAGGCAAGAGUCAGCCCAUUGUUUUAUGAGUUUGGAGCAGAUGUAGUCAGUUAUCUGCCAUGAUCACUCAUUGCCAGUGAUUUACUCAGCCAGAAAAAUCACACCACCCAAAAGCUUGAAAGAGUUGCAACCAUGGAUCAAGCUGGGUGCUGAAAUGGAAAGGGAUGCAGAAUCAAGCUUUAUGGAAGAUUUUGAUGCCACUUGGUGUAGCAUUAAUUAGUAGGUAUACAAUACUUCUGCACAAGAAUGUAUGCUGCUGAUGGUUAACACUUUGAAUAACAGUAUAUUUGUUUUGCUUCCUGUAUUUUUGAUAGCUUUUUUAACAAAAGAACCAUUUCUAUUGUUCACUCAAGUGUUCCUAAGCUGACAUUACAAUGCAUUACUAAUUUACUUAAGAAUAAUAAAUUUAGUUGAUUCGUAUAUUCAAACAGUUGCCUUUGGACCUUAGACAAGGGUUCCAAAAGACAUUGUCAGAUCCCUUUGGUUACCAGUUGUUUUUAUAUUUACUAUGAACCUCUUACUAAGAGGUUACUGAAUAUUUUUAAAUACUUAAAAUUAUCCAGAAGUUGAAUGUAAUUUUUCAAUGGAUUGUGCUUUCUCUUCCUCUUUCAUUUAUUCACUCAUUCCUAUUAACCAUAAAAGAGAGAAAUAGCUGCUUUCCCGCCUAAUGGUUGUGUUACAUCUUCCAUUUCUCACAAUAUUUUAGAAAAUGUUAUUGUAGGCAUGGCAGGUACUGCAGCAAGACAAAGGUAGCUUGUCCUGUUGCGCUUGCAAAGAAACUCCAGGCAAGCCCCAUUGAAAUAAUUUUUUGGGGGGGGGGAGUUUGCCUGGCCCCCAGUGCAGCUGCUUUUAUUGUGCUAUUUAUUUUUCAUUAUCUGAUAUCUUAAACCUUCCACAAGCUAACCAGAGUUACUUGGUGAGUGGGUGGGUGUGGAAACUCAAUGAAUAAAAAUAAUGAAUAAAUAAAAUUGCAUAUGUUCAUAGCCAUAAUACUGGUGUGUGUGUGGGGGGGGGGUGUCUAGCCAAGCUUCCAGUUAGGCACCCACCACUUAAAUUUGGAGAUGUUUUGACUGGUGUCAGCAUUUUAUAGUUCAGUGUUGCAGGUUGGAAUUUAGGCGGACAGUCCAUUGAGCAGGUUAAAAUCUUUAAAUAUCUAGGGAUAGUAUUUCAAGCCUCAGGAAAUAGAAAUGCCCAUUUGGACUAUGUAACCCAUAACGCAGAGAGGUCUGCCUUAGCCAUCCUAACCUAUUACUUUUCCAGAGGAGUGCAGUUUAUUCCCGCUGCAAUUAAGUUGUUUGCAGCUAAAGCUCGAGCACAACUGUUAUAUGAGGCCCAAUUAGGACCAUACAACAACAUGAUUACUUUGGAAAGAGUUCAAACAAAAUUUCUAAGAAAUAUCUUCUAGGUACCCAGCUGUGUCCCAAAUGCAGUACUCCAACGGGAAUCAGGAGUCAGCACACUUGAAACCAAUCUUUGGAUUAACAUCUUUACCUACUGGCU